UUUUGUAACUAUCAUGGGCCAACAUGGCCACAACUCAUAAUGUACAAGUGUAAGUGGGAAAAUACUGUAUCACUGAAUCAUUUUUCUUAAAACAUGAAUACAUAUGCGUCGUCAAGGCCUCUACAUACUGUACAAAAUGAACCUCUGUCUACAAAGCCUCUAAUAUUAUUUGACAUCAAAUGGGACAGGGUACUGGCCUACCCAUAAGUCUGUAGCAAAACCCUGACACGAUGAUUCAUAGACUCGGCUGCACUCCGAAUGAGGUGGAGUCUUACCAAUUCUUUGCUAGAUGCCAAUCUCGUCUUCUAUGAGAGCUCGUCAAAUUGAUUAUCUAUACCUGAAGGCAUAAAUGCAGCGUCCCCAACAAAAGGACGUCAGUACGAAUAAUGUACUGAGUAUGUAAGGCAGAACUGAAACAUAACCAUAAUUCAACAUUAAUUAAAGACAUAUAAGAAUCAACCUGAAUCUCUGAAGUACCACCAUAUAUGCGUACUCAUUAUACUUAUAUAUAUAAUGCUUCUUUUUGAGACUAUUAUCCAUAUCGUAUGAUGCAUGACUACCCAACUAAUUAGUGGUAACUGUCUGACCGGCCGUAGCUCGGUGGUAAAUGCAUAACUGCCCAACCGAUGGUAAAUGAUAAUACAUAACUGUCCAACCGGUGGUAACUGCCCGACCUGCCAUAGCUCGAUGGUAGAUGUACAACUGCCCAACCGACCGUAGCACGGUGGUAAAUAUAUAACUAUCCAUCCGGCCAUAGCACGGUGGUAACUGCCCGACCUGCCAUAGCUUGGUGGUAGAUGUAUAAUUGCCCAACCGACCAUAGUACGGUGGUAAAUAUGUAACUGCCCAUCCGGCUAUAGCACGGUAGUAAAUGCAUGACUGCCAUACUUUGUUAGGAAAUACAGCUGUAAUUUAGGCUAGUGACUACAAAAAGAACCAAAUGAAAUGAAAAUUAUUUUUUUAGUGGAAGCUUUCUGCUCGGAGUAAUAUCCAUGAAAUAAAAAUUAUAUUUAUGGAAACACUCCAAAAAUGAAGUACCAAAUCUGUGUAAUUAGUACACAACUAAACUGACAUACAAUUUCCUCUCACCCACUUAGUCAAGUAAGCUGCAAAUAAGUAUGAAUAUGGUCAGAGCAUCUUAAUAUCUUAUUACAUUAAAUUUGUCUCCGUCUUUUUCUUGCUUUCUCUAUAUCAUUAAUGUAUUAAAAUUAAGGAUUAAAUUGGAACAAGAUUGUUCUCAGAACACGUGAAGGGGCUAGAAUGUGAUCUUAAUAAAUCUCAGAAAAGUCAUGAACACAGGAUGCCAACUAUUACACGUAAUUAAUGUCCUCAAAUUGAUAUGCAUGAUAGUAGGGGAACAAAUAACAUAUACAUCCUUAACUGCUAAGAGUAGAGAUACUUAUGGAAUAUCAUUACGUUUACGUAUCGUUACUUGGAUCAUGCCAAAAGAAAGAAGGAAUAGCCAUAACAUACCUGGAGUAGCGAAAAAUCUGUGUGAUAUUCUUGGAAAAUGUUACACCGUACUCCUUUAGAACCACAAAUUUUUAUGUUGCUAAGGUUCUAAUAAUUCUUGUUGGAAUCGAUUUGAUCGCAAGAAUUUUGUAUGUAGGAAAUCUCUAACGUUCUGGUUGUAGGAACUUUGUAGGAAUUUUGUAAGAACUUUCAUUUCUAUGGUACCAAACCUCCUAUUUGAUUGUAGUAUUGAAAGUGUUAGAAAUGAAGUAGUGAUCCCAUCUGAUUGAUUCAUGUCAUUUAAGACAUUUAAUGGUCCCCUUUUCCCAAAAUGGUAUAUGAUUCAUGUUAGAAGACUUGUCAAAUUCUCAAAUCUUGUCACAUAUUAAUAAAUAUGCCACCUAUCACUCAAUUGUAAGAGUCACAAUUUGGACAUGGCCUUGCUGCCACAUGACAUUUUGGUCUUUAUCCAAAAGACCUUAAUUAA
Molecule: long non-coding RNA, 1939 nt
Filed under: Nicotiana tabacum (common tobacco)
Lineage: Eukaryota; Viridiplantae; Streptophyta; Magnoliopsida; Solanales; Solanaceae
Description: long non-coding RNA (NTAB_LNC006852)
Source: RNAcentral